Molecule: ribosomal RNA, 355 nt
Filed under: uncultured bacterium
Lineage: Bacteria
Description: bacterial SSU rRNA
Rfam family: Bacterial small subunit ribosomal RNA
Source: RNAcentral
AUUGAACGCUGGCGGCGUGCCUAACACAUGCAAGUCGAGCGGUAACAGGUGUAGCAAUACAUGCUGACGAGCGGCGAACGGGUGAGUAAUGCUUUGGAAUCUUCCCAGUAGUGGGGAAUAACCAGUCGAAAGAUUGGCUAAUACCGCAUACGUCUGUAAAGGGAAANCGGGGGACUCGCCUCUUCUUCGGAAGAGAGGCCUCGCGCUAUUAGAUGAGCCAAAGCGGAUUAGCUAGUUGUGGGGUAAUGGCCUACCAAGGCGACAAUCCGUAGCUGGUCUGAGAGGACGACCAGCCACACCGGAACUGAGACACGGUCCGGACUCCUACGGGAGGCAGCAGUGGGGAAUAUUGGAC